CCAGCAACUUGGAGGAAUGUAUAGCAAUAGCUGAUUGCAGCAACAAACAGUUGCUGCAAGAUCGACUAUGUCGAAUAAAAUUCUAGGUAGAAUUAUGAUAAUGACAUUGUCUACCUAUGUGUCUUGACCAAAUUACGUGCCAGCAGUCGCGGUAAUACGUAGAAGACUAGUGUUAUUCAUCUUUAAUAGGUUUAAAGGGUACCUAGACGGCAAAUCAAGCCUUAACAAGGGACUAAUUAGCUAGAGUUACUUAUGAGGGGGUAUUAAAGUACUGCUGGUGUAGAGAUGAAAUUCUGUCAUACCUCAUUUUCUGAAAAGAGAAAACAUGGCACAGGUAUAGGUGAAAGCAUCCCCUUAUGUGAUAACUGACGUUGAAGGACGAAGGCUUUUUGUCGCGAACAGGAUUAGAUACCCCAGUAGUCGAAGCAGAAAAUGAUGAAUGUCAUAGGUUAGAUAUUAUUUAUCCUAUAAAUGAAAGUGUAAGCAUUCCACCUCAAGAGUAAUUUGGCAACAUUGGAACUGAAAUCAUUAGACCGUUUCUGAAACCAGUAGUGAAGUAUGUUGUUUAAUUAGACGAUCCGCAAAAAACCUUACCACAAUCUGAAUAUUUAUAUCUCUUCUUUUCUUAUUGAGAGAAGAAAAUGUAUUUACAAGCGUUGCACGGCUGUCUUCAGUUAAUGUCGUGAGACUUUGGUUAGUUCCAUUAAAUUAACGUAAACCCUUACUUUAUUUUUAUAUAGAGUUGUUCCCCGCUAGAUUGGAUAUGAUAACAGGGACUAAGACAAGUC
This 788-nucleotide ribosomal RNA is filed under the name Lecanora atra. RNAcentral's name for it is "mitochondrial SSU rRNA". It matches the Rfam family "Bacterial small subunit ribosomal RNA", at positions 345 to 1191 of the family's 1533-position model. Lineage: Eukaryota; Fungi; Ascomycota; Lecanoromycetes; Lecanorales; Lecanoraceae. The record is from RNAcentral.